RNAcentral lists this unclassified non-coding RNA (338 nucleotides) under Acinetobacter boissieri. RNAcentral's name for it is "Long range pseudoknot". Lineage: Bacteria; Pseudomonadati; Pseudomonadota; Gammaproteobacteria; Moraxellales; Moraxellaceae. The record is from RNAcentral.
ACAGAUGUGGGUGAUUACAACGUAAAACUACGUGCAAUUACUCGUUUCUUAGAAGAUGGAAACAAAGUGAAAAUCACGUUACGUUUCCGUGGUCGGGAAAUGGCACACCAAGAACUUGGUCUUUUGCAAUUGCAAAAGAUUGAAGCCGAUGUGGUUGACCUAGGUGUUGUUGAACAAGCACCAAAAAUGGAAGGUCGCCAAAUGGGUAUGCUUCUUGGCCCUAAAAAGAAAAAUUAACAGGUCAGUAAUGACUUGAAAUUAAAAGGGCUACCUCAUUGGAGGUAGCCCCUUUUUUAACUUAAACAUCUUGUUUCGACUUUUGAUGAUUGAUUUGCGAA